This 395-nucleotide ribosomal RNA is filed under the name uncultured bacterium. Its description in RNAcentral is "partial 16S ribosomal RNA". It matches the Rfam family "Bacterial small subunit ribosomal RNA", at positions 523 to 918 of the family's 1533-position model. The record is from RNAcentral.
AUACGUAGGGUGCAAGCGUUAAUCGGAAUUACUGGGCGUAAAGCGUGCGCAGGCGGUUUUGUAAGACAGAGGUGAAAUCCCCGGGCUCAACCUGGGAACUGCCUUUGUGACUGCAAGGCUAGAGUACGGCAGAGGGGGAUGGAAUUCCGCGUGUAGCAGUGAAAUGCGUAGAUAUGCGGAGGAACACCGAUGGCGAAGGCAAGCCCCUGGGCCUGUACUGACGCUAAUGCACGAAAGCGUGGGGAGCAAACAGGAUUAGAUACCCUGGUAGUCCACGCCGUAAACGAUGUCAACUGGUUGUUGGGGAUUUAUUUUCUCAGUAACGAAGCUAACGCGUGAAGUUGACCGCCUGGGGAGUACGGCCGCAAGGUUAAAACUCAAAUGAAUUGACGGGG